This is a long non-coding RNA of Anser cygnoides (Swan goose), 2189 nucleotides long. Lineage: Eukaryota; Metazoa; Chordata; Aves; Anseriformes; Anatidae. The record is from Ensembl.
AUGGGGCGAGAGUGGGAAGAGGAACGGCGGUUCCGCAUCUUCCCCCCUCGCUUCUGCAGAGUCCCUUCUUCCCCUUUUCUGCAGGGGAAUCUCCCGUUGGAAGGAGCUGGUAGGAGCAGGUAUUUCUCUGGGCAGUCGCCGCUGGCUCCCCCACAGGCGUGCCCAGGCGCUGCCAAGCGGCGCUCGUCCCUGCGGCAUCGUCCCCGGGCCCCUGGCUGCGCCUCCAGUGCCCGCGGCGUGCCGGGGAGGUGCUGGCUGCUGGCACGCGCCGUGCAGGAGCUGAGCUGGAACACCAGAUGGCAAAAAUGUGUCCGUGCAGACCGCCGGGCUGUGGGGGAAGGAGUCAGCGACCUGCGUGCAUCAGUGACCUUUCUGAGCAGCGCCGGGGGAGGCGUUUGUAGUCAGAAGUGCUCAGCAUCCGCAGUUGGUGACGGAGAUCAUCAAAGGCCCCAAAGACACUUGGGCCGCUCUAAUUUUGAUGGAGAUCACCGUGCUGCCACGGGUGGGCAGCUCGCCCCUGGUCCCCAGCGUGGCUGCCAGGAGCCUGCACCGCGGCCCCGUUACGGCCGCGCGGGUGGGAGGCGUUCCCAGGCAGAUUAUUAGAUGACGAAGUUAAGAGUCCCUGGCACUGUAUUCCUGGAUCAUCAGGGCCCCAGAAUAGCAGCAGUCCGCCGGUCAGGGAUUGUUGACCCUGUUUCUUUGCCCUCCUGUGCCAAGAUCUGCCGUUGCCUCCCGCUGCUGCUGGCACUGCUGUCACUGCCGUGCUACGCGCGGCCCGGGCGGUCUGGCAGCACCCGGGCGGUCUGGCAGCACCCUGCCGCCCGCAGCCUCUCGCAGGAGCUGCGCGGUGGGCACGGGGAGAGCCCCGCUCCCGCCCGUCUCGGCUGCACUUCAGACCCCCGAGGAUCUGCGGGGCUGUUGGGCUGCCUUGAGCUAUUCAGUCCUCAGUCCCUUUGCUGAGGGUGUCAAGGAGGAGCUGAAAUCGCACUUAAUUGUGUGUGCACCUGCCAGCCCAGCUGCCCCUCCGAGCCCGUGACCCCCGCAGCACCGCGGGCUGGACCCCGCGCUGGUCGCUCGAGCUGCCGGUCCUCACCCUGGUCUGCGGCUCGGAAGGAAAGCUGGGGAGCUUGCUUUCGAUGGGAAGAUCAAGAGCUCUGAGGGGCCUUUGUGAAGGGUGUCUUCAGUUUGUUUGCAGGCUGUGGGUACAGGCGAGCAGCGGACGCUUUCCCAGCGCGGGGCAGCGCGUGGAAGUGCUGCUGGGGGGUGGAGGCCGCCCAGGGACGCCCGAAUGCCCUCGGUGCGGGGAGUUGAGAGCUGGGCUCCUUUUGUCAGUGAACGAGUCAAAUGCAGGGGCAGCGGCUCACUGGCAUCAGAUUUUGGCUAACACAACCCUUGAAAUGAACUCUUUAGCUUAAGGGAGCUCAAGAUUUGCAACACCAAAGGCCUUGCUGGCAGCUCGUCAGCAGCCUGAGGGCUGCACCUGCUUCGCAGAGACAUUUACAUAAACAUCUCUGAGCAGUCGUGCUCGCUCGUAACCUUUCUCUCCUGUUCUCUUGGCUUCCCCAGUGAACAAAAAACGGUUUGUUGCAGGAAUUUCACUGCCGGCCCCUGCUGAUGCCCUGGGAAGCCUUGCCAUCGGCACGCACCCCGGCCGAACGGGCCCUGCGCUCUGCUGGGGUGAGGCUGCUGCCAGAGGCCGGUGCAGGAUGAGUUCAGCACGGGGCAGUCAGAGCUCGGGCAGAGCCAGCACUCCACUGAUUCCCCGUGCUGCUGCUGUCUCGGUCUCGUAACUCAAGCGGGGCCCGAGUGCUUUAACCAAGGCUGGGGACGUGUGAGGGUGUGCUGCAGAAGCCUGGGCUGAAGGCAGCUUGAGGAAACGUCUGCGAGUUCUUUGAAUUGCCUGCCGUUGCCCACUGCGUAAGAGCACGGCAUGCUGCGUGCCUUGUUUCUCUCCACCCGUGCUCGGUGAAGUCAGUCACGUUUUUCCCCCCCAAGUCUUUGUACAUUCCUACGAAGAGGUCACGGCUCGAAGCCCGCUGUUAGCGUACCAGCGAUUCUUGCAGCUCCCCGCCAGCUGUCGGGGUUGGCGUGCACUGAGCUUCGUGGGCAGCGUGCGGGGAGGUGUCUGGAUGCCGGGGCCCUUGGCGCCACAGGACUUGCAUAAAUAAAUUUCGUUUGUGCCAUGUUCA